RNAcentral lists this small RNA (5071 nucleotides) under Drosophila pseudoobscura pseudoobscura. Its description in RNAcentral is "GA32402". Lineage: Eukaryota; Metazoa; Arthropoda; Insecta; Diptera; Drosophilidae. The record is from RNAcentral.
AAAUGUAAGAAAAAGCCAAAAAAUAUCUACAAAAAAAAGUUUCAACACUUAAAAAUUAUUUGGAAAAGUUCCAAAACUGUCCAACGAUGCCAUCGUCGGCCAAAAAGGCCACCUCGAUAUAUGUAAAGGCCUUUAAACACACCAAAAAAUCAAAACUCAACAACAUAUUUGAUCCAAAACUUACUAAUCAUUUCAAAUGGAAGCUAUACAAAUUGCUGAUUAAAAAACUAAAAAAAAUAUUUUAGGAAGCUAGAAGCUUGCCCAAGCAGCACCAAAUUGCACAUCCCACAUACACCCAUCACCAAAUUGUGAAGUAAAGUGAACAUCAGCUCCUGAAACCACAAUCCGAAAUUACAGACGACAGCAGCAGAAACAGGAAAGGAGGGCGGAGGGGGGCCCUCCCACAUGCUGCAACAUUGCCGAGCAUGGGAUGGCCCCCAGCACUGGGACUGCGAGGGAUUUGUAACCAUAGUUACCGCAAGUACACAAUGCACUCGCCUCAAAAAAGCUACAAUGUUAUUCCUUCCCGCUUCAUUCAUUCAAAUCAAAUUAAUCUACCUUAGUGUGUGUCUAUCUAGGAUUCUAUGGAAGUUAUCUUUAUAUGUGUGAGGUAAUGCUAGUUUUACAAGUUUCAGUCCCAUAUCAAAUGCAUUUCUGCUAGGCAUAGGUCAUACGAGUAUAUACAUACUUAUGAUAGUAUAUAUAUUUAAUUGCGUUUUGCAAAAGCUCUGCUGAAUGUUGAUAUCCGAUGUUGUUUAUCUGAUUACCACUAUUACAUUUACAAAUAGCCAACAGGUGGGCACAUUUAGCACAUAUAUUAUUUAUGCCACAAUUAAGGAACUUAAUGCCUUCUUCCCUUAUUUUCAAUAUUGAUUUUGCUUAAAGUAUUUGCACUGCUGUUUGUAUCCGAGUAUACCCAAGCAUUUAAGCCAUCAAUUACAUAAACAUAAACACCAAAGCUUAUGACUUAUGCAAUUAUAUUAAGCACAUAUUCAUGCAUGUUUUUUCUACCUUUCUUUAUCUACCUUGAAUACUAUAUAUUCAUAUUAUUUGGUUAUUUACUUAAAGCUUAUUCCCUCGCUUCAAAAAACAUCUAGUAAAUAUCUAUAUAUCUACACCUUCAAGAGCAUAUAUAUUUACCUUAUCUGUUAUAAGUAUUUUUUGAAGUACUUAUUUGAAAUACGUUAAUCUACGAGUACCUAAACUAGUCCUUUCUAGAGAUGUUCUCGACAUUUUGUACAUACCGACACAUAAGGGUGCAUUUUACGCUUAAUAUAGUAUACGACAGACCCUCGUAUUACACAUAUGUACGUAUUACACAUUACUCAUAAGCAUGUAUCUCUAUAUCUCGAUUUAAGAGCCAAUAAGUAUGAUGAAUUAAUUCAGUUUGGUUUACAAAAUUAAGUCUUUCCGAAAUUCAACUAUUCAGCGAGGAUAAUAUCACAGAAUUAUCACAGAAUCAUCACAGAAUUUCCUCUAAAUAUAAGUCUUUCUAUAAUUCCAUUAUCCUGCAGAGAUAAUAUCAUUUAGCAAACGUGGAGGUUUUCUUUUUUGGCUUGAUUGUGAGGAUUUACGGAAUGCAAAGUGCGAUGCCUUUAAAGGCACUUCAGUUUGAAUUAGGAGUAGCCCUGCGAGUGUUGAUUGGAUGGGAUGAUUCGAGUAUUACUCAAGGAGGAUAAUUCCCAAAAUUAAAGACACAUUCCAUGCCAUGAACUUAAAGUAAAGCAUAUUCAUCUGAAGCGGGAUUAUGUGACAUUAAUCACUGAAUUCAAUUUUGUUUAUUACAAAAACUUAAAUAUUCAAUUCUUUGACUAAUUUUGCGGACAAUUUGAUCCCUUAUAUACAUAUGUACAUACAUACAUGGAGGGCAUUUCUGAUAAAUUGAUGAAUAGGCCGAAAAUGAGUUCUUCAUUUUAGUUCAACAUCAAACGAUCGUGGUGUAUUUGUGCGAAAGGGGUGGCCAAAAAUAGUGCUGGAUUCUCAUGCUCCUCGAUAAGGUCAAAUGUCCCCAACAUGGCGAUGGCCACAAAAGCGAGUUCCGUAUAACCACCCCCCACCAUCCGCCUAUAAACGAAGAUUAUUUCCUCCUUUAUGUGAUGUAUUAAGCGCUCCACCAGGAAGUGGGAAGCGCCCGUGUACAAAAUGCGUAAUGCGGCAAGGGUUAGUGCGAGAGCCAUUCUCGAGAGCAGAGCUUGAGCUGACUUUUUGUCUGUGGUUUCUCGGUGCUUUGAUUUAUUUUUGAUACUUGCUUCAAGUAGUGCCGCUUGAGUGCCGGAAAGUUGUGUGUACGUUCCCAAAAAAUGAUUCCGAAUAGUGUUGCGAGCUGCUCAAAUGGUUUGACAAUGAAUGCCCAGAUCUUACUUUAAAUAUUGCACGAUUUGUAUAUAUUUUAUCUUGGGAGCAUAUGUAGGUCUUGGGGCAGUUGGUUUUUGAGGGACAAUGACAGAUAGUGUUGGGGUUUCAGAUGGAGAGUAGAAUGGCACCGUUCAGCUAAAGUAAAGGCUUUCGUGCGACGGCUGCCAUUUUUCUCUCCGUCUCUGACUUCAACGCCUAUCUCUGUUAGUGUUCCCCAGUCUCCAACUGCCUGCAGGACUUGUGGAUCUGUUCCCUCUUUUUUACUGGCAUCAAAUAAAUUUUCCCUGAUCGAAAAUUGGGCUCAAAAAUUUUUAGUUCAGAGGUAAGCGAGCCUUUUUCCAUACAACUCGAAUAUGCUAAACUUUGUUUUAAAGCACUUUGCAGUUCUGAAAAGCUUGUGAAUGCAACUAUCGGUCGGUUUAAAAAACUUUAUGGCUCCAACUUACCGUCUGGGAAAUAUUCAGAUUUCAAGUGCAGACAGCAAGUUUUAGCUAUAAGGUUUUUGAAGCCCAUCGAUAGCUGCAUUUGUUUGCCUUUCAGAACUGCAAGGUCCUUCAAAACAAAGUAUAGCAUACUAGAGUUGUAUGGAAAAAGGUAAGCUUAACUCUGAUGGUAAUUCUCGAAAGAAACCCCUUAACUAUAUACAAAAAAUACUUCAAACUUUACGUAUUCAUUGGUUUUUGGUUGGAGCAUGAGUCAUGUAGCCGUCUGGAUUCUGAUGAACAUUCACAGUUAGUAUUGGAGUUAGAGAUGGAGAGAAAAAUCCCUGCACGUAGCCAAAGAAAUUGCUUUCGUUAUCGACUGGUAUUUUACUCUCCGCAUCUAACCCCAACACUACCUGUCACUGUUCCUCUGAAUCUAGGCGUCUCCAGGACUAAUGCUCCAAUCAAAUUUGUCCAUUAGGGUUGCGCUUACUUAUAAAACAUUAAUUUUCAAAGGUCUCAGGUUGUACAAAAAGUUUGUGAAAACGGGAUCGACAAUUGGUUCGCUUUCAAAAGUAAGUCGGAAAUUUUUUGGUGAAAGUGAAAGCCGGACCCUGCCUGAUUGCAUACUGAUUGAUUGAGACUUAAGUCAUGGGAACAGAUUCUGGGCAGCACUGGCAGAUAGUGUUCGAGUUUGAGGUGGAAAUCAGGGCUCCACCAUUCGACAAAAGCGUGAACGCUUUCGUUGUUUGAUGGAACUUUACUUUCCACCUUUGACUUGAUCACUAACUGUGCGUGUUGUUCAGAAUUCGGACUCCUUUAAGGAUUUUUGCUCCCAAUCAGUAUACGUAUUGGCAUUGAUGUUGGUAUUGGUUGGAGCAUAAGUCGAUGGGGGUAUUAGAGUCCGACGAGCAAUCGUAUUCAAUGAUGGAUGUAGGUGUAGAGAGAAAGGGCGCACCAGUCAAAAAAAGAGAUUGGCUUUCGUUGUCUGCUGUAACUUUACUCUCUGCCUCUAUUUUCAUGACUGACUAUGAGUGCUUCUCAGACUCCAACAGUCCUGCGUCUUAUUCUCCCACCAAUACCCGGCUUUUGAUCGUGCUCUGGUAUACAUACAUUGGAUGGUUUUCAAAACCACAGACAGACCUCCUCCGAGUAAGGGCUAUGGGUUUAGUUUAUAUAUAUCGUACAAUCCUUCGUUUAUUCAUAUAGCAUCUGGGCUUCAAUAUUCUACGCUCUUCUCUUCAAAUUUUUUUCGUAGAACUUUGUUUGUUUCCUAAGAAGUUAGUCGGCCGUCAAGUACUACGGAAAGUCUACUAAAGUCGUCAGAUGGGGACCAAAUUGAAGGAAAACCUCUACGUUUUGCUUAAUCUUAUCUUCAAUUAUAGAGAUUCUAUUAUAUUCUAUUAUUCUAAUCUAUUCUAUACUCUAUUAUCUCCUUGCAAUCUUGGAUAAAAGGUUUUUUUUUUGUGGAAAGUGACAACUAGGCGCAGCUUGGUGUUUAUAUUUUAUAUAAAGUAUAUACAUAUUGUAAAUUCAACUUACAAAUGCAUCUAGAUAAGCUUACAACAGAGGCAAUAUUCAAGCUCUAUAGCUAUAUUAAGUUUAGAAGUUAUGUGAAGUUGGGAAAGCGUAUACCAUCCUGGAUAAAUAUCGCUUCCCAUCGAGUACCCACAUGACUUGCUCAAACCAUUAACGUGGGAAGGACACCUUAUAGUUACAAAAGUAAGCUUCUUAAAAAAAAGUUGCUAGAGAAAGCAUUAAUUUUUUGGUUCAUUCAAUGCAUAGAUUUUAUUUAAUACAAGGUGAAGGGUAAUGAUAGAUAAGUUGGCGAUCGGUGUGGAUAUAAAUGCCCUGCGACUGCAGCAGAAUGAUACAACAAAAGAAUGCUCUUGUGAGAGGCAGUUCUCCUUGGCAGACAUACAUACAUAUAUAGCUCAUAAUUCGUGGCUCUGAAUAUUAUUAAAUCGUUCUUUUGGGACCCGACUCGACCCCUGUAAAAUGUAUAUGUAUUUAGAUUGUAGUAAAAUGUGAAAUACACCUGAUGUCAAGUAUACAGUAAGGACCAGUACCAUUACUACAUAUGUAUGUAUAUGUACGGAAUAUACCGGUAUGUCAGUUCCCUUGUGCGCUGAUUCAAGUUUUCCGAAGUCAUUUAAGACCAAUAGUUAUAUAAUCUAUAACCUAAUAGCCAUACGAUAAGUACCUUAGUAUGUAAAUUUGAUUGUGAAUGUAAGAUUAAAGGUGAAAAGAAAAGGCUAUACUUACAAACCAGUAUACCUAUUAAAAAAUAUAUA